RNAcentral lists this long non-coding RNA (355 nucleotides) under Malus domestica (apple). RNAcentral describes it as "long non-coding RNA (MDOM_LNC019648)". Lineage: Eukaryota; Viridiplantae; Streptophyta; Magnoliopsida; Rosales; Rosaceae. The record is from RNAcentral.
AUGUGCCUUCAUUCUUCAAUUUCUGAUGCAUUUGCCUUGUAUUCCAUCCCUUUUCCACAUGUACUAGCUAUUAGACAACUUUCACACACAUGUUUUGCAUCAUUUCAUCUUGCAAACAUCAACUUUUGGCCACUUUACACCUCUACACACAUGUUAUGCAUCAUUUCAGCUUGCAAUUAUGUUUGUAGUUGCUGAAAAUGUGAAUACAACUUGUAAAGCAAUCCAACAAAUGGCAUCUUUCACUUCUUUUCCUUUCAAAUUGUUCCUUAAGUGUAUGUAUCUGCACACUUCCAUACUUCAACUUCAUUAUUCAGAUUUUUGCAUGUGUUGAAACCCUUUUUAAAACACCAAAAAC